CUACCCUGGAGCCCUGCUCUGUGAUGGGCCCCGUCCUCGCGGACGGGCCCGAAACCCGUGGGCGCCGUCGUCCGGCCCUGAGCGUAGCAAGAGAAAUCCCUCGCUCGGAGUGCCUGCCGCCGGCCGCCCCGAAACCCAUUUUUUUAA
Molecule: unclassified non-coding RNA, 147 nt
Filed under: Venturia inaequalis
Lineage: Eukaryota; Fungi; Ascomycota; Dothideomycetes; Venturiales; Venturiaceae
Description: partial internal transcribed spacer 2
Source: RNAcentral